GUCUAUGGCCAUGCCACCCUGAACAAGCCCGAUCCCAUCUGAUCCUGGAAGAUAAGCAGGGUGGGGCCUGGUUAGUACUUGGAUGGGAGACCACCUAGGAAGACCAGGUGCUGUAGGCG
Molecule: ribosomal RNA, 119 nt
Filed under: Pteropus alecto (black flying fox)
Lineage: Eukaryota; Metazoa; Chordata; Mammalia; Chiroptera; Pteropodidae
Source: RNAcentral